Molecule: ribosomal RNA, 253 nt
Filed under: uncultured bacterium
Lineage: Bacteria
Description: partial 16S ribosomal RNA
Rfam family: Bacterial small subunit ribosomal RNA
Source: RNAcentral
UACGAGAGGCGCAAACGUUAUUCGGAUUUACUGGGCUUAAAGAGUUCGUAGGCGGCGCAGAAAGUAGGGUGUGAAAACCCGCGGCUCAACUGCGGGCCUGCAGCCGAUACGGGCAGGCUAGAGUUCGGUAGGGGAGACUGGAAUUCCUGGUGUAGCGGUGAAAUGCGCAGAUAUCAGGAGGAACACCGGUGGCGAAGGCGACAUCCUGGACCGGUAUUGACGCUGAGGCGCGAAAGCCAGGGGAGCAAACGGG